AAUGAACGCUGGCGGCAUGCCUAACACAUGCAAGUCGAACGAAGGCUUCGGCCUUAGUGGCGCACGAGUGCGUAAGGCGAGGGAAUCUGCCCAUGGGUUCGGAAUAACAGUUAGAAAUGACUGCUAAUACCGGAUGAUGUCUAAUAACCAAAGAUUUAUCGCCCAAGGAUGAGCCCGCGUAGGAUUAGCUUGUUGGUGGGGUAAAGGCAUACCAAGGCGAGGAUCCUUAGCUGGUCUGAGAGAAUGAUCAGCCACACUGGGACUGAGACACGGCCCAGACUCCUACGCGAGGCAGCAGUGGGGAAUAGUGGAAAAUCGGGGAAAGCCUGAUCCAGCAAGGCCGCGUGAGUGAUGAAGGCAUUAGGGUUGUAAAGCGCUUUUACCCGGGAUGAUAAUGACAGUACCGGGAGAAUAAGCCCCGGCUAACUUCGUG
Molecule: ribosomal RNA, 433 nt
Filed under: uncultured bacterium
Lineage: Bacteria
Description: partial 16S ribosomal RNA
Rfam family: Bacterial small subunit ribosomal RNA
Source: RNAcentral